This 2930-nucleotide ribosomal RNA is filed under the name Escherichia coli. RNAcentral's name for it is "bacterial LSU rRNA". It matches the Rfam family "Bacterial large subunit ribosomal RNA". Lineage: Bacteria; Pseudomonadati; Pseudomonadota; Gammaproteobacteria; Enterobacterales; Enterobacteriaceae. The record is from RNAcentral.
GGGUUGUGAGGUUAAGCGACUAAGCGUACACGGUGGAUGCCCUGGCAGUCAGAGGCGAUGAAGGACGUGCUAAUCUGCGAUAAGCGUCGGUAAGGUGAUAUGAACCGUUAUAACCGGCGAUUUCCGAAUGGGGAAACCCAGUGUGAUUCGUCACACUAUCAUUAACUGAAUCCAUAGGUUAAUGAGGCGAACCGGGGGAACUGAAACAUCUAAGUACCCCGAGGAAAAGAAAUCAACCGAGAUUCCCCCAGUAGCGGCGAGCGAACGGGGAGCAGCCCAGAGCCUGAAUCAGUGUGUGUGUUAGUGGAAGCGUCUGGAAAGGCGCGCGAUACAGGGUGACAGCCCCGUACACAAAAAUGCACAUGCUGUGAGCUCGAUGAGUAGGGCGGGACACGUGGUAUCCUGUCUGAAUAUGGGGGGACCAUCCUCCAAGGCUAAAUACUCCUGACUGACCGAUAGUGAACCAGUACCGUGAGGGAAAGGCGAAAAGAACCCCGGCGAGGGGAGUGAAAAAGAACCUGAAACCGUGUACGUACAAGCAGUGGGAGCACGCUUCGGCGUGUGACUGCGUACCUUUUGUAUAAUGGGUCAGCGACUUAUAUUCUGUAGCAAGGUUAACCGAAUAGGGGAGCCGAAGGGAAACCGAGUCUUAACUGGGCGUUAAGUUGCAGGGUAUAGACCCGAAACCCGGUGAUCUAGCCAUGGGCAGGUUGAAGGUUGGGUAACACUAACUGGAGGACCGAACCGACUAAUGUUGAAAAAUUAGCGGAUGACUUGUGGCUGGGGGUGAAAGGCCAAUCAAACCGGGAGAUAGCUGGUUCUCCCCGAAAGCUAUUUAGGUAGCGCCUCGUGAAUUCAUCUCCGGGGGUAGAGCACUGUUUCGGCAAGGGGGUCAUCCCGACUUACCAACCCGAUGCAAACUGCGAAUACCGGAGAAUGUUAUCACGGGAGACACACGGCGGGUGCUAACGUCCGUCGUGAAGAGGGAAACAACCCAGACCGCCAGCUAAGGUCCCAAAGUCAUGGUUAAGUGGGAAACGAUGUGGGAAGGCCCAGACAGCCAGGAUGUUGGCUUAGAAGCAGCCAUCAUUUAAAGAAAGCGUAAUAGCUCACUGGUCGAGUCGGCCUGCGCGGAAGAUGUAACGGGGCUAAACCAUGCACCGAAGCUGCGGCAGCGACACUAUGUGUUGUUGGGUAGGGGAGCGUUCUGUAAGCCUGUGAAGGUGUACUGUGAGGUAUGCUGGAGGUAUCAGAAGUGCGAAUGCUGACAUAAGUAACGAUAAAGCGGGUGAAAAGCCCGCUCGCCGGAAGACCAAGGGUUCCUGUCCAACGUUAAUCGGGGCAGGGUGAGUCGACCCCUAAGGCGAGGCCGAAAGGCGUAGUCGAUGGGAAACAGGUUAAUAUUCCUGUACUUGGUGUUACUGCGAAGGGGGGACGGAGAAGGCUAUGUUGGCCGGGCGACGGUUGUCCCGGUUUAAGCGUGUAGGCUGGUUUUCCAGGCAAAUCCGGAAAAUCAAGGCUGAGGCGUGAUGACGAGGCACUACGGUGCUGAAGCAACAAAUGCCCUGCUUCCAGGAAAAGCCUCUAAGCAUCAGGUAACAUCAAAUCGUACCCCAAACCGACACAGGUGGUCAGGUAGAGAAUACCAAGGCGCUUGAGAGAACUCGGGUGAAGGAACUAGGCAAAAUGGUGCCGUAACUUCGGGAGAAGGCACGCUGAUAUGUAGGUGAAGCGACUUGCUCGUGGAGCUGAAAUCAGUCGAAGAUACCAGCUGGCUGCAACUGUUUAUUAAAAACACAGCACUGUGCAAACACGAAAGUGGACGUAUACGGUGUGACGCCUGCCCGGUGCCGGAAGGUUAAUUGAUGGGGUUAGCGCAAGCGAAGCUCUUGAUCGAAGCCCCGGUAAACGGCGGCCGUAACUAUAACGGUCCUAAGGUAGCGAAAUUCCUUGUCGGGUAAGUUCCGACCUGCACGAAUGGCGUAAUGAUGGCCAGGCUGUCUCCACCCGAGACUCAGUGAAAUUGAACUCGCUGUGAAGAUGCAGUGUACCCGCGGCAAGACGGAAAGACCCCGUGAACCUUUACUAUAGCUUGACACUGAACAUUGAGCCUUGAUGUGUAGGAUAGGUGGGAGGCUUUGAAGUGUGGACGCCAGUCUGCAUGGAGCCGACCUUGAAAUACCACCCUUUAAUGUUUGAUGUUCUAACGUUGGCCCCUGAUCGGGGUUGCGGACAGUGUCUGGUGGGUAGUUUGACUGGGGCGGUCUCCUCCUAAAGAGUAACGGAGGAGCACGAAGGUUGGCUAAUCCUGGUCGGACAUCAGGAGGUUAGUGCAAUGGCAUAAGCCAGCUUGACUGCGAGCGUGACGGCGCGAGCAGGUGCGAAAGCAGGUCAUAGUGAUCCGGUGGUUCUGAAUGGAAGGGCCAUCGCUCAACGGAUAAAAGGUACUCCGGGGAUAACAGGCUGAUACCGCCCAAGAGUUCAUAUCGACGGCGGUGUUUGGCACCUCGAUGUCGGCUCAUCACAUCCUGGGGCUGAAGUAGGUCCCAAGGGUAUGGCUGUUCGCCAUUUAAAGUGGUACGCGAGCUGGGUUUAGAACGUCGUGAGACAGUUCGGUCCCUAUCUGCCGUGGGCGCUGGAGAACUGAGGGGGGCUGCUCCUAGUACGAGAGGACCGGAGUGGACGCAUCACUGGUGUUCGGGUUGUCAUGCCAAUGGCACUGCCCGGUAGCUAAAUGCGGAAGAGAUAAGUGCUGAAAGCAUCUAAGCACGAAACUUGCCCCGAGAUGAGUUCUCCCUGACUCCCUGAGAGUCCUGAAGGAACGUUGAAGACGACGACGUUGAUAGGCCGGGUGUGUAAGCGCAGCGAUGCGUUGAGCUAACCGGUACUAAUGAACCGUGAGGCUUAACCUUACAACGCCGAAGGUGUUU